GGGGCUGAUUCUGGAUUCGACGGGAUUUGCGAAACCCAAGGUGCAUGCCGAGGGGCGGUUGGCCUCGUAAAAAGCCGCAAAAAAAUAGUCGCAAACGACGAAAACUACGCUUUAGCAGCUUAAUAACCUGCUUAGAGCCCUCUCUCCCUAGCCUCCGCUCUUAGGACGGGGAUCAAGAGAGGUCAAACCCAAAAGAGAUCGCGUGGAUGCCCUGCCUGGGGUUGAAGCGUUAAAACGAAUCAGGCUAGUCUGGUAGUGGCGUGUCUGUCCGCAGGUGCCAGGCGAAUGUAAAGACUGACUAAGCAUGUAGUACCGAGGAUGUAGGAAUUUCGGACGCGGGUUCAACUCCCGCCAGCUCCACCA
RNAcentral lists this transfer-messenger RNA (363 nucleotides) under Salmonella enterica subsp. salamae. It matches the Rfam family "transfer-messenger RNA". From Rfam's summary of the family: Bacterial tmRNA, also known as 10Sa RNA or SsrA, is named for its dual tRNA and mRNA-like properties. Its role is to liberate the mRNA from a stalled ribosome. To accomplish this part of the tmRNA is used as a reading frame that ends in a translation stop signal. Lineage: Bacteria; Pseudomonadati; Pseudomonadota; Gammaproteobacteria; Enterobacterales; Enterobacteriaceae. The record is from RNAcentral.